Molecule: small RNA, 71 nt
Filed under: unclassified sequences
Description: NAD+-I sequence
Rfam family: nadA riboswitch
Source: Rfam by way of RNAcentral
UGUUGCAACAACCCCGUGGAUUGGGUGGUGAGGCGGAAGAAGGCUGAAACCACAGUGAACCCACUGCAACA